UACGUAGGGGGCAAGCGUUGUCCGGAAUCAUUGGGCGUAAAGCGCGUGUAGGCGGUUCGGUAAGUCUGCUGUGAAAGUCCAGGGCUCAACCCUGGGAUGCCGGUGGAUACUGUCGGACUAGAGUCCGGAAGAGGAGAGUGGAAUUCCCGGUGUAGCGGUGAAAUGCGUAGAGCUCGGGAAGAACAUCGGUGGCGAAAGCGCUCUGCUGGACUGCAACUGACACUCAGGGACGAAAGCUAGGGGAGCGAAUGGG
Molecule: ribosomal RNA, 253 nt
Filed under: uncultured bacterium
Lineage: Bacteria
Description: partial 16S ribosomal RNA
Rfam family: Bacterial small subunit ribosomal RNA
Source: RNAcentral